RNAcentral lists this ribosomal RNA (281 nucleotides) under Niphargus rejici. RNAcentral's name for it is "partial 12S ribosomal RNA". The record is from RNAcentral. Lineage: Eukaryota; Metazoa; Arthropoda; Malacostraca; Amphipoda; Niphargidae.
UUGUUUAUUUUCUAAGGAUUACAGUUAAAAUUAAAAUAUUUGGCGGCUAUUAAUAUUAAAGGGAUUUGCUUUAUAUCGAUUUACCUCGUUUGAUACUAUUUAGUUUAUUUUUGUAUACCGUCAUUUAGAUAAUUUAAAUAUAAUUAAUUAUGGAGAUAAUAUUCUUUAAAUUAGAUCAAGGUGCAGAUAUAGUUAAUAUUAAGUUAAUGACAAUAAUUUAUUAUUAUACAGGAUUUGUUUAAUUAUUUAGAAUAGGAGGAUUUAAAUGUAAUGGAAGAGUG